Molecule: ribosomal RNA, 363 nt
Filed under: uncultured soil bacterium
Lineage: Bacteria
Description: bacterial SSU rRNA
Rfam family: Bacterial small subunit ribosomal RNA
Source: RNAcentral
AGAGCGAACGCUGGCGGCAGGCCUAACACAUGCAAGUCGAACGGACCCUUCGGGGUUAGUGGCGGACGGGUGAGUAACACGUGGGAACGUGCCUUUUGGUUCGGAAUAGCUCCUGGAAACGGGUGGUAAUGCCGAAUGUGCCCUUCGGGGGAAAGAUUUAUCGCCAUUAGAGCGGCCCGCGUCUGAUUAGCUAGUUGGUAAGGUAAUGGCUUACCAAGGCGACGAUCAGUAGCUGGUCUGAGAGGAUGACCAGCCACAUUGGGACUGAGACACGGCCCAAACUCCUACGGGAGGCAGCAGUGGGGAAUCUUGCGCAAUGGGGCGAAAGCCUGACGCAGCCAUGCCGCGUGAAUGAUGAAGGCC